CUCUCUCUCUCGGUCUCUGUCAAGCUUGCCUGUACUUUUCCUUUUAUGGAUAGCUUCAUCUCCCUGUUAGACCAAAACUGUGUUAGAUAACCAGUAAGGGCCAUCAACUAAACCCCUUUAAUCCUAAUUUCUCUUGAGGGGCUUUCCAACCUCGGGGAACUUUUUGGCUAAAAGAAAAGCUCAUCUCGGCCUAUAUUCGUCUGAACUUCUGACAACGUGGCAACCCUUCAGCACAACUCCUUUCACAAAAGACCAAUUUCAUAUUUAGUGGGGUGAUUGUUUUCGGUUACUUGACUGUGGGUUCACGCUGGUGAUGGUCAAAUGCGCAGAUAAUUGCAGCAUCAAUGCAACUGACAUUUGGAAAAUAAUCAAAUGUUAAACUAGCUUUUAUGUUGACAUUUUCUGACUUUCAAAAACAUAGACUAAAUAUGCAAGUCAGAAUGCAUCAAUCCUCCCCAGGUAUAAAUCUGUGUGGUAUAAAUCUGCUCCUUGAACAUCUGUCUGAUACUUCUUUGUAUAAUGUAUGAGGAAAUGCAAGUGCACUGAUAUGACACACAGGAUCACAACUAGGGUGACCAGACAGCAAAUGUGAAAAAUCGGGACAGGGAGUGGGGGGGUAAUAGGAACCUAUAUAAGAAAAAGACCCCAAAAUCGGGACAGCUGGUCACCCUAAUCACAACACAGACUGACGUACAAGCAGAAGGACAUAAAUAGACAAGACAGAGGUGCUAUAGUUGUUACCUAAACACAAAAUCUUACACAAGGUGAAGAACCGCCAAGCUAUGGGAAAGGUGAUUCCACGUCUCAGGAAGGAUGUUUUUCAUGCUCAUACUCACAGAGUAAAACAUACUCUUCGGUCUAGAUUUGUUUUCAUUUCAGGUCAAGGAAAAACAUCAAAGAAAGGGCUUAACCCUAAGAGACACUAACCACUUCCUGCAAGGUCCUGAUCACCCUGAACUCCCACUGAACUAGUGGGUGCUGAGCACUUCUCAGAAUUGGGCCCAAAGACUGAACAAAGAGAAAUUUUCCAUGACCGAGAAAACAGAGUGACUGGAACAUGCUGCAUCUUAAGGACAAGAUGGCAGCUGCAUUAGGCAGGGAGAAAAAUCUACUUUUAAAAGUGUAAUCUUUAGAAAACAGCCUUUAAUUGGUAUUGCUACGUGUAGAAAGACUAGUUAGACAUAAUAGGCAAGAUUCUGUCACCCCUACUCACACUGAGUAAUACCUCACUCUACUAACACUGAUUUCAAUGGGGCUUGCUUGUGGGGUAUUGUACUAGUCAACAUAAGGGGGAGAGAAUCUGGCCCAACAUGAGACCAAUAUCAUGAAAAGAAACCAGAUAACCCAGAGUAGAAGUCAGUUACAGUGAUUGGUGUAAGAGGAUCAGAGCCAAAGCCUGACAAUAAUUUUUUUAUAUAUAUAUGGAAAGAGAGAGAUCAACUCUCAGAGCUCAUCCAGAGCUCUGAGAUAAUAAUAGAGAGCCUCUGACUAAGCCAGCCCUGAUUACAGAAUGGGCCCCACCUGAGAGAAAUUAGGUGAUUCCAGGUUUAACUACUGAGUGGGCCCAGCUGAGGAAGGGCUGGAGGAAAGAGAAUGCAGAGAGUCAAAAGGUGCCUGCAGGGGCUUGAGUGAGCACCCAGGGGACAGAUUGGGAGACCGAGAAGGGAAGGAAAGAGGUGAGGAAGGAAAUGGUGCAGGGAAAACUGCACUAUGGGUAGAGGAUUUGACUUGGUUGUGCAGUCCAGGGCCCUGGGCUGUAACCCAGAAUUGAGAUUGGGACUGGAUUCCCCUACUAGCCCUCAGCAAGUGGUGUACAAGGGUAGCUGAGCCCAGGAAGGGGGCUGCAGUCUGAAUGUGACCUCGCUGAAGAAGAGCUGUGGAGAGGCUGGAAGCUUCUGAUUUCUAUUAAGAGAGUUUAGAACUUUAGUCUGUUCCUUCCAGGGUCAGCCAUCCGCACUAAAGACUGUGCCCUGGCUGGAGGGGUGAGUUAUCUAAAAGAAACCACCACAGCCCCAGAGUGACUGUUGACAAGGGCUGCUACCCCACAAGGAUACUGUGAUGCCAUGCCUGGCCAUGAGGCAGUGCAGGGUGGUCCUUUGGAAGAAAUGAACUCAAAGAUUGCCUACUUGGAACUUCUUCUUUUUGGAUGGGAUAAGUAUUGCUGACAUCAUGAAGCACAAGUGGAGAAGAAGGAAGUGUCAGGAAUGCCACACACAGAGGAGAAAAGAAGAUGGAGGAAAAGGAAAGGAACUCUGGGCACAGUAACCAACCUCAAAUCAGGCCUCAGGUCAUGUAAUUAGACUGUAGGGGAAUCUCGAGCCUCUUAAUACCUUGAGCAGCGUGACCGCCCUGUAAGCUGGGUCCCGGUCUGUGCUAUUGUGUCGUUUUGACAUUCUGCUCCGUUAUCUGGCUAUUGAGGGUGACUGCCCUGUCAUCGGGGUGCACGUCUCCUCCCCCUGUCUUUGGAGGGGCAUUGAGCUCUUUGUUAAUCUGAGCAAUGUGACCGCUCUGUAUCUGGGGUCUGGGUCUCUGCCCUCUUGCUCAUUUGGCUUUACGCCGUGCUCUGCCCCAUUAGUCAGCGUGACAACCCUGUAAUUAGGGUCUAUGUCACAAGCCUCUCUAGGAUAGGACAUAUUGAGCUCUUUGGUACUUUGAGAGCUUGACCUUCCUGUCAUUCAGGUUAUGGUCUCUCCUCUUUGGCUAAUGCCAGCGACCACGCUGUAAUCAGGGUACAGGUUGCAUCUCGCUUUUGAAAUCUGGGUAAUUAGAAUCAUUUCCGUUAUGUGGGCAGCUUGGCCUCCCUGUAACUAGGGUGUGCGUCUCCGAGGCCCUCUGGGUCUCUUGGCCUCGUGCUGUCUUCACAACCUGUUGCGAACGACUUCCCUGUAAUCAGGGAUCGGGUCUGUGCCCUCUAGUCUCUUGGCACUUGGCCAAAUGCAGCCACUGCCCUGAAUGAGCACCCUGUAAACAGGGUACAGGUCUUAUCUACUACUAUUUCUGGCACCCCCAUGAGACUGUGUCCAGAGUUCCGGCCCAUCCAACAGCGCUUCCAACAUGCCUGGAAUUCUGCAGCCAAGUCUCCUGCUUUCUACUCACUUCUUGGACUCUUGGAGACCUGACAUGCUAUUGGUGGUACGAUCCGAAAGUGAGUGUCCGGGGCGGUUUUGGACCGUUGUCGAAAGCGGUUCUCAUUUACACACGCCUUGUGCUCCCUCUCUCUGAUUCAGGCAUCAUGAAGCAGAAGUGGAGAAGAAGGCCUAACUUGUGUAUUUCUCACACAUUUCUAAAAGGAAGCAAACAAAACUAAAUGUUCUGGCAACUGGCAGUUACUCUCCGCACUUCACAACUUUCAAACACCUACUCUACUUAAAUGGUCACACCAACCAAAGUGUACCACACAUUCAAUAUUAACUUUGCACCUAUUGUGUCAGAAGUGAGAGUGUUUUUAGUAGUUGUGUCCAUUGGUGGAAGUGGCAGUCGUGGUGUUUUAGUAGUCUUUUACGCUUCUUGAAUUCAAAGGAUGAUGAUGUGGAUGUUUUAGGUAGGUAUUUUUCUGUUAAGUCUUGGUAUUUGGGUAGAGGUGCAGUAUUUUGUGAUUAUGACUAUUUUUCUGGUAUUGGUUUAGUGUGAAUUGUUGGCAAUUUUAGAUGUUUUUGUAUCCGUACAUUAGUAGAUGUCUUUAGAGGGGAAAGCUGAGGUUGCCUGUUUGGUGAAAUUUGAUUGGUGUGAAAGUUAAUUUCGGGUAGGUGUUUGAAAGCACUGAGGUUUGAAUUUUUAGCUCAACAGGGAUGCAGGAUCCACCUGGCUACCUCAGUUCUUACUGUCAUUCCUAAUUCCAAAAUCUGGGAUGAAGAUGACCAGGCAGAAUAAAGAUAUCUCCAGAGACUUUCAAGAGGGUAGCAUUUCUGCAGCUUUAGGGGAUCCCUUAAACCUUAUUGAGCUUUUCAAAGUGUAAUAAUUGUGGAAAACUUCCACUUCUGCCAAUUCCAUGUUGAACAAUGACCUGUAUUAAAGGACUUACACUGGUAGUUAAUUCUGUUCUGUAUUAAGAUGAUUUUGCUAAAAUCGCCGCUUUCUGAUGUGUGAAAUGAAUUAUCUAGGUCUGAUUAUACCUAUUUGAUAAAAGUGUGAUAACGACCCCAUGUUAAAUGCAUGGAUUGAACUUUGAUUGUCAUAUCACAUUGCUUUGCUUUC
Molecule: long non-coding RNA, 4194 nt
Organism: Malaclemys terrapin pileata
Lineage: Eukaryota; Metazoa; Chordata; Testudines; Emydidae
Exons: 3
Source: RefSeq, a predicted model, not a curated record